AUAUGCAAGCUCACUUAAGACAUUCAAGGAGAUCCGGAUCCUUUCCUCACUGCCCAGGCCCGGGCCCACCUCUCCUUUAACCGUCAGGGUCCCCACUACCUAGGAAGCCCCACACCUUCCAAAGAUGCGCUAGGUGCGCCAGAGGCAUGCUUCUCUGCUCCGCUGGCUUGGAAGAACCAGGUCUGAGGCCAAGAUAAAACCUGAUUCCUGGUGUCCGACCCCCUAACAUUAGAAGUCGAGAGAUGAAGGGAACACUCGGAAAUCAGCGCCAUGGAUUCAAACCAGCACUGGAAAAUGCCCCAGGACAGUUCGUGCUGAGCGCCUUAGCCACAGGAAACAUUUUCCUGAGCAUCUAAAAGUAUUGUGGACCUGAGGCACUGUGCUUACAGGGUCUAAUGG
Non-coding RNA from Chlorocebus sabaeus (green monkey), 399 nucleotides. NCBI's taxonomy places the organism in Eukaryota, Metazoa, Chordata, Mammalia, Primates, Cercopithecidae. The record is from RefSeq and is a predicted model, not a curated record.